AGUUUAUCUCAGGUAUGGAAUUCAGGUAAAUAUUCUGUAAAGCUCCAGUCUUAAUGACUAAGUAGGUAUUACUCUUGGGUAUUAAAGACUGAUUUUAUCAGGAGUCACUUAAAACAAGGGAUUAAGUUCAAAACUAUUGCGAGGGCCCUGGUGAAUGAAUUCUGACAUCUGAAGUCAUCCAAAUCUAAGCAAAUACUUUAGGCUUGAUACUAUAUAACACAAACUGUAUUUACACGGACCAAAUUCUGUAGGAGUCACUUUUACCAUGGACUCCGCAUGUGUUGACUCAAGGUCCUUUCAAGCACGGAUCGCAGUGCCCAGUGGUCAAUACCCUUACUUUUAUCCAGUGUCUGCUUCAUUUAAACUUAAUCAACUCCAUCAACGAACUGGAACAGGGAAACGUCCCUGCGGUAAGAAUGUUGUGCUUUUGUGGGAUAAUUCUUUGCUCUUUCCCGAUCCGUUGCCGUUAAACCUAAAAUUGCACUAUGAUGAACUUUUUUUUUUUAAUCAAUAUGAUAAUGACAAUUGGGCCUGAAUGCUCUGGUAGGACUUAGACUUGAGCUGAAUCUGGUUUCCAUCACUAAAACAACUUCUGGUCCUAUGAUAGUCCGCCUCCUUUUGUGUGGCUUUAAUACCUUUUCUUCCCUGACAUUGAAUAUUGCUCAAGCUGGAAAAUGAUGCAUCUUUGUAGGGAAGGCUCAUAUGUCACAGCCAGAAAGUGAAGCAGACCGAUUGGUUGUGUGAAUUAUCUGACUUGCUGCAGUGAAUUAUUUGCACUGUUUCCCUACCUAGUCAACAAGUUCCUGAGGUAUAGUAGAGAUCAAUCAAAACUGACAGCCUGCAUGUGAAGGCUUUACUGUGUAAAUCUGGCGCACUCAUCCUAGCCAUGCCGGCCCUGGCAUCUGUAUAUCAUUUUUAUACUGCUACCAGUAGAGCAAUUUCAAAAGUAUUUGCAAGGAAAAUGCGUGUCCCCAUCUGUUCCUAGAAGCAUAAAUGUGCCACCUUCAGAGGGUUUUCACUGGUAAUCAUAUCUUUAAUGAUCAACAGACUAGUGAUAUAUAUUUUUCCAUAAAAUGGGGUUUUCUUCACUUUAUUGUGAUUGGCUAGAAUAAAUAGCUUUUCCAUAUGUUCGGGAGAUAAAAU
RNAcentral lists this long non-coding RNA (1143 nucleotides) under Felis catus (domestic cat). Its description in RNAcentral is "lncRNA (ENSFCAG00000052304.1)". The record is from RNAcentral. Lineage: Eukaryota; Metazoa; Chordata; Mammalia; Carnivora; Felidae.